RNAcentral lists this ribosomal RNA (1851 nucleotides) under Triticum aestivum (bread wheat). RNAcentral's name for it is "partial small subunit ribosomal RNA". The record is from RNAcentral. Lineage: Eukaryota; Viridiplantae; Streptophyta; Magnoliopsida; Poales; Poaceae.
AUGACGCUGCGCGACGGCGCCGUGGACCUGUGGGCGAUGGCCGCGGAGCUGGAGCGGCAGUUCGCCGGCUACAAGCAGCGCCUGGCCUCCUCCGGGAGGAUCAGCAGCCUCGUCGACGACGCCGACGACGCCCACGUCCUCGUCCUCGCCGCCGCCCCCGACGACGACGCUGGCGCCGCCGGUGGUGUCGCGGGCAACGGCCUCUUCGAGGAGGAGGAGGAGGAGGACGCGGCGGUCGGAGGCGUGCGGGGGAGGAUGUACGAGGCGUACACGCGGCGGCGGGACGAGCGGCUGCGGUCCGUGUGGCGCGCGCGCAUGGAGCGCAAGGAGGCCGAGGUCAUGGCGCUCUGGGCGCAGCUCGGACGCGGCGGCGGCGGCCCGGCCACCGCGGACGACGACAACGGCGCGGCCGGAGAGCAGGAAGGCGAGGACGGCGGCGAGAGGAGAAGGAGCUCCGACGUGGCUGCUCCGGGCAUGGUCUCCGGCAAGAAGCACCCGCGUACCAGGAGGAGCUUCUCGUCGGCCAACCUGGUCAAAAGCAGCCACCCUGACGUCGGGAUACGGCGCGCGGUCUCGCAGGAACCACCCGAGCCAACGGCAGGCACCGACGACGGCGCCGGCAGGAAGCAUGGCCAGCGAGCCCGGCCAGUGACCGGCGCCGCGCCGAAGCGCAAGGCCUUGUCGGGGAGCAAGGGCGCCUCGGUGAAGGAGCACGGCUCACUCAGGAAGGCUGGCCCGAAGCCGAAGCCGAAGCCGCCGCGCAGCUUCCCCCGGCCAUCCAGCUCCGGCGGCAUGGAGGGUGUCAGGGAGGCAGCGCUGCCGCAGAACGCGAACGUAGCUUCUUCCCCAAGACCGUUCUUCGCGCGUGACAACGGCACUGGCACCGAGAACGCGCGAGCCGCCUCGCCGGCAUCAGAUGGCGGCGAGGUAGUGGACAGUGCAGCUCCAGCAGUAGAUGGCGACGAACCUGAAGCGAAGAAUGGAGAGAUCACCAGCGACCCGGAGAGACGCGGUGCCGAGGAGAUCGUGGUGCUGUCGCCUGAGGCGAAGCUUGGUAACGGAGAGAUCACCAGCGACUCGGAGACCGAGCCGAGCUACGUCUUCAUCAAGAAGAAGGCUGUCGUCGAGGAGGAAGCCACGAUCCUCUCUGACGCAUUGGCUGGACCAGGAUCUGAAGAACCACAUAUCCAGGUCAGGAAUGGCACAGACGAGGCGCCGACGGCGGCGAAUGCCGAAGAAGCGCCGGCGAGGGGAAGCGCCGACUCGGUGUCCUCCAUGUCAGGCCGGGUCUCCGCUCCCAGCAGCCCGCCCUCCUGCAGCUCCCGGGCCCAGUCCAUCGAGAGGCUGCUCGGGGAGGACGCCGCGCUGCUGCGGAAGAGGCGAGAGGACCAGAGCCCCAACGGAGGGAGGAGCGUCCCGGCGGUGUCGACGCCGGGCAGCGCGGGGAGAAGGGCCUACGGCGCGGCGCCGACGACGUCCCCGAGAGGGACGGCGAUGGGGUUCAAGAAGAGGUUCCUGAGCUUCGGGAAGAAGAGCAGAGGCAGCAGGGAGGGCGCUACCACGGUCAUCGUCGACUGCAGCUCUCCGACGAUCGACGACAACGGCGCGAGCGAGCGGUGGCGGACCGCCGCCGACUCGAUCAGGCCCAGGGUGCUGGGCUCCUCGUCGGACGCAGCCUCCGACGACACGGAUCAAUAUGCCGCCUCGCCACAGGCCUGCUCUCUGCAGAGCCUCGUGGCUGCUGCUUCUCCUGCAAAGUCUGAGCUGAGUGAGAUAGUUCCACCGGAGAAAUCACCAAAACCUCACCGUUCGUUCUUCUCGCUCCGGUCCUUCAACUGUGGCAGGAGCUAG